AUGGUGUUCUCGUAAGUCAGGCUGCCCCGCUGAAGCACGAGAGAGCUUUGGUUAGAGCUCAGAGUCAGCUCUGCUGCGAGUGCUGCCGGCAAUCGGCCCGGGCUGAGCUGUCCACUCGUCCAGGUGCUGAAACUGGCAGAACACUUGGGGCUCUCUCGCUGCCAUGACACUCAAUCAAAGCACCUAGAGUGGGCUGGCCGAUACCAGAGGGGGUACCAAGCAGAGCAAGGACAGAGAAAGGCACUGGGAGAGCACCAGAAUUGGAAAUAGAGCAGCCAUUUGGAUUUGGGCAGGAAGCAGCCGUGCACAGCUUUGGAUCC
This is a long non-coding RNA of Bos indicus x Bos taurus (hybrid cattle), 320 nucleotides long. The record is from Ensembl. Lineage: Eukaryota; Metazoa; Chordata; Mammalia; Artiodactyla; Bovidae.